RNAcentral lists this ribosomal RNA (1056 nucleotides) under Microbacterium sp. 3479CO2. Its description in RNAcentral is "bacterial SSU rRNA". It matches the Rfam family "Bacterial small subunit ribosomal RNA", at positions 168 to 1237 of the family's 1533-position model. The record is from RNAcentral. Lineage: Bacteria; Bacillati; Actinomycetota; Actinomycetes; Micrococcales; Microbacteriaceae.
ACCGGAUACGAGCUGCGGCCGCAUGGUCGGCAGCUGGAAAGAAUUUCGGUCAGGGAUGAGCUCGCGGCCUAUCAGCUUGUUGGUGAGGUAAUGGCUCACCAAGGCGUCGACGGGUAGCCGGCCUGAGAGGGUGACCGGCCACACUGGGACUGAGACACGGCCCAGACUCCUACGGGAGGCAGCAGUGGGGAAUAUUGCACAAUGGGCGGAAGCCUGAUGCAGCAACGCCGCGUGAGGGAUGACGGCCUUCGGGUUGUAAACCUCUUUUAGCAGGGAAGAAGCGAAAGUGACGGUACCUGCAGAAAAAGCGCCGGCUAACUACGUGCCAGCAGCCGCGGUAAUACGUAGGGCGCAAGCGUUAUCCGGAAUUAUUGGGCGUAAAGAGCUCGUAGGCGGUUUGUCGCGUCUGCUGUGAAAUCCCGAGGCUCAACCUCGGGCCUGCAGUGGGUACGGGCAGACUAGAGUGCGGUAGGGGAGAUUGGAAUUCCUGGUGUAGCGGUGGAAUGCGCAGAUAUCAGGAGGAACACCGAUGGCGAAGGCAGAUCUCUGGGCCGUAACUGACGCUGAGGAGCGAAAGGGUGGGGAGCAAACAGGCUUAGAUACCCUGGUAGUCCACCCCGUAAACGUUGGGAACUAGUUGUGGGGUCCAUUCCACGGAUUCCGUGACGCAGCUAACGCAUUAAGUUCCCCGCCUGGGGAGUACGGCCGCAAGGCUAAAACUCAAAGGAAUUGACGGGGACCCGCACAAGCGGCGGAGCAUGCGGAUUAAUUCGAUGCAACGCGAAGAACCUUACCAAGGCUUGACAUAUACGAGAACGGGCCAGAAAUGGUCAACUCUUUGGACACUCGUAAACAGGUGGUGCAUGGUUGUCGUCAGCUCGUGUCGUGAGAUGUUGGGUUAAGUCCCGCAACGAGCGCAACCCUCGUUCUAUGUUGCCAGCACGUAAUGGUGGGAACUCAUGGGAUACUGCCGGGGUCAACUCGGAGGAAGGUGGGGAUGACGUCAAAUCAUCAUGCCCCUUAUGUCUUGGGCUUCACGCAUGCUACAAUGGCCGG